GAUGAAGAACGCAGUGAAAUGCGAUAAGUAAUGUGAAUUGCAGAAUUCAGUGAAUCAUCGAAUCUUUGAACGCACAUUGCGCCCUCUGGUAUUCCGGGGGGCAUGCCUGUUCGAGCGUCAUUACAACCCUCAAGCUUUGCUUGGUAUUGGACAUUGCCAGUUUCUGGCAGGUCUUAAAAUCAGUGGCGGUGCCAUUUGGCUUCAAGCGUAGUAAUUCUUCUCGCUUUGGAGAUCCAAGUGGUUACUUGCCAAUAACCCCCAAUUUUUUCAGGUUGACCUCGGAUCAGGUAGGGAUACCCGCUGAACUUAAGCAUAUCAAUAAGCGGAGGA
RNAcentral lists this unclassified non-coding RNA (330 nucleotides) under soil metagenome. Its description in RNAcentral is "partial contains 5.8S ribosomal RNA, internal transcribed spacer 2, and large subunit ribosomal RNA". The stretch from base 1 to 120 matches the Rfam family "5.8S ribosomal RNA", at positions 35 to 154 of the family's 154-position model. The record is from RNAcentral.